GUGAAUGCGAUUUACAGGAGCGGGGCUGGCGGAGCGGCGAGUGCUUUCUCUGCGAUCAGCUCGCGGCGCUCUCUAUAUAGUGAACUUUGACACGACUGCUGCAACUUAGCACACGUUACCAUGGCGACCGCUCGCCUUAUAAGGCAACAGACUGCGUUUGACUGGUCAAAAGCUCCCGGACCGCCCCUCGCCUCUCAUUGGACCGCUCAGCCUUGUGCGGGCUGGCAUGGCUGCCAAGGCAGGCCGCCCGGUCCUAAAGGGAGAACGGUUCUGGGGCAGCUGAGAACGGAGGCUAAGCAGAAAUUUACGGAUAACACACACGGGGAUGCGGUAGAAUUGUGACUCGGUAGCACAAUCUCUGUACUAUAUAUGGAGCAACUCUAAAUAGAUUAAAUCGCAAUAGGAGUACAGCAUCGAACAAAUACCGAGUUUCACUCUGAACUCAGCGGAAAGCAGUUACGUCUAACAGAAUGCAAUGAAUUCCUCUUCUC
Long non-coding RNA from Mauremys mutica (yellowpond turtle), 491 nucleotides. RefSeq lists it as uncharacterized. Lineage: Eukaryota; Metazoa; Chordata; Testudines; Geoemydidae. The record is from RefSeq and is a predicted model, not a curated record. The transcript is spliced from 3 exons.